CCUACGUGAGGCAGCAGUAGGGAAUCUUCCACAAUGGGCGAAAGCCUGAUGCAGCAACGCCGCGUGGGUGAUGAAGGUCUUCGGAUCGUAAAACCCUGUUGUUAGAGAAGAAAGUGCGUGAGAGUAACUGUUCACGUUUCGACGGUAUCUAUCCAGAAAGCCACGGCUAACUACGUGCCAGCAGCCGCGGUAAUACGUAGGUGGCAAGCGUGAUCCGGAUUUAUUGGGCGUAAAGGGAACGCAGGCGGUCUGUUAAGUCUGAUGUGAAAGCCUUCGGCUUAACCGGAGUAGUGCAUUGGAAACUGGGAGACUUGAGUGCAGAAGAGGAAGGUGGAACUCCAGGUGUAGCGGUGAAAUGCGUAGAUAUAUAGAAGAACACCAAUGGCGAAGGCGGCUCUCUAGACUGUAACUGACGCUGAUGUUCGAAAGCGUGGGUAGCAAACAGGAUUAGAUACCCCAGUAGUC
RNAcentral lists this ribosomal RNA (465 nucleotides) under uncultured bacterium. Its description in RNAcentral is "partial 16S ribosomal RNA". It matches the Rfam family "Bacterial small subunit ribosomal RNA", at positions 338 to 795 of the family's 1533-position model. The record is from RNAcentral.